UGCUUAGGCUUAGGCUUAGGCUCAGUCUUAGGCUUAGGCUUAGGCUUAGGCUUAUACUUAGGCUUAGGCUUAUACUUAGGCUUAGGCUUAUGCUUAGGCUUAGACUUAAUCCUAAGCUAAGGCUUAGGCUUAGGCUUAGA
Molecule: non-coding RNA, 140 nt
Organism: Caenorhabditis elegans
Lineage: Eukaryota; Metazoa; Nematoda; Chromadorea; Rhabditida; Rhabditidae
Source: Ensembl